UACGGAGGGGGCUAGCGUUGUUCGGAAUUACUGGGCGUAAAGCGCACGUAGGCGGCUUUGUAAGUUAGAGGUGAAAGCCCGGAGCUCAACUCCGGAAUUGCCUUUAAGACUGCAUCGCUCGAAUCAUGGAGAGGUGAGUGGAAUUCCGAGUGUAGAGGUGAAAUUCGUAGAUAUUCGGAAGAACACCAGUGGCGAAGGCGACUCACUGGACAUGUAUUGACGCUGAGGUGCGAAGGCGUGGGGAGCAAACAGG
RNAcentral lists this ribosomal RNA (253 nucleotides) under uncultured bacterium. RNAcentral describes it as "partial 16S ribosomal RNA". It matches the Rfam family "Bacterial small subunit ribosomal RNA", at positions 524 to 776 of the family's 1533-position model. The record is from RNAcentral.